CCCAGCUGUUGGGUUAAAUUUUUAAAUUAAAAUUUUAACCCAAAAGUUAGCCUGGUCAGUACCUGGAUGGGAGACCUCCUGGGAAAACUAGGUUGCUGCUGGAA
RNAcentral lists this ribosomal RNA (104 nucleotides) under Sinocyclocheilus rhinocerous. The record is from RNAcentral. Lineage: Eukaryota; Metazoa; Chordata; Actinopteri; Cypriniformes; Cyprinidae.